RNAcentral lists this ribosomal RNA (253 nucleotides) under uncultured bacterium. Its description in RNAcentral is "partial 16S ribosomal RNA". It matches the Rfam family "Bacterial small subunit ribosomal RNA", at positions 524 to 776 of the family's 1533-position model. The record is from RNAcentral.
UACGUAGGGGGCAAGCGUUGCUCGGAAUUACUGGGCGUAAAGCGCACGUAGGCGGCUUUGUAAGUAAGAGGUGAAAGCCCAGAGCUCAACUCUGGAAUUGCCUUUUAGACUGCAUCGCUUGAAUCAUGGAGAGGUCAGUGGAAUUCCGAGUGUAGAGGUGAAAUUCGUAGAUAUUCGGAAGAACACCAGUGGCGAAGGCGGCUGACUGGACAUGUAUUGACGCUGAGGUGCGAAAGCGUGGGGAGCAAACAGG